Molecule: ribosomal RNA, 671 nt
Filed under: Chitinimonas sp. B1_1_B11
Lineage: Bacteria; Pseudomonadati; Pseudomonadota; Betaproteobacteria; Neisseriales; Chitinibacteraceae
Description: bacterial SSU rRNA
Rfam family: Bacterial small subunit ribosomal RNA
Source: RNAcentral
UGCUCCUAAGUUAGUGGCGAACGGGUGAGUAAUGCAUCGGAACGUACCGUGUAGUGGGGGAUAACCCGGCGAAAGUCGGAUUAAUACCGCAUACGAUCUACGGAUGAAAGUGGGGGACCGCAAGGCCUCACGCUAUACGAGCGGCCGAUGUCGGAUUAGCUAGUUGGUAGGGUAAAGGCCUACCAAGGCAACGAUCCGUAGCGGGUCUGAGAGGAUGAUCCGCCACACUGGGACUGAGACACGGCCCAGACUCCUACGGGAGGCAGCAGUGGGGAAUUUUGGACAAUGGACGCAAGUCUGAUCCAGCCAUGCCGCGUGAGUGAAGAAGGCCUUCGGGUUGUAAAGCUCUUUUGUCAGGGAGCAAAUCCUGUUUCUUAAUACGGAACGGGGAUGAGAGUACCUGAAGAAUAAGGACCGGCUAACUACGUGCCAGCAGCCGCGGUAAUACGUAGGGUCCAAGCGUUAAUCGGAAUUACUGGGCGUAAAGCGUGCGCAGGUGGUUACGUAAGUCUGAUGUGAAAUCCCCGGGCUCAACCUGGGAACUGCAUUGGAGACUGCGUGGCUAGAGUGUGGCAGAGGGGGGUGGAAUUCCGCGUGUAGCAGUGAAAUGCGUAGAGAUGCGGAGGAACACCAAUGGCGAAGGCAGCCCCCUGGGUUAACACUGACACUCA